Molecule: long non-coding RNA, 262 nt
Filed under: Mytilus galloprovincialis (Mediterranean mussel)
Lineage: Eukaryota; Metazoa; Mollusca; Bivalvia; Mytilida; Mytilidae
Source: RNAcentral
UAGGUUUUAAAGUAAAAAUAUUAACAAGUGAAAUACGUUUUUCCAACAAUUGUAAAAGAAAUAAGUUUGAGUCGUUCCACGCUUCGUUGUAUAGUAAAUUAGAACUUUAAGCAUUGUCUAUAAAAUAACUUGAUGUAGAUUCAAUUCAUUGUCGUUUAAACUGCCGAUUUUUGAUUGGUCUAGCUGAGAGGGUGACAUUCCAAAAAAUUGUCACCCGCUCAGCCAUGUGAUAGAGUAAAUUAACACCUUCGUAUUAGGCAAU